UACGGAGACGGCGAGCGUUACUCGGAUUUACUGGGCGUAAAGGGUGCGUAGGUGGCUUUGUAUGUCAGGUGUGAAAUCCCGGGGCUCAACCCCGGAACUGCGCCUGAAACUACAGGGCUAGAGGCUCGGAGAGGGCAGUGGAAUUCCAGGUGUAGCGGUGAAAUGCGUAGAUAUCUGGAGGAACACCAACGGCGAAGGCAGCUGCCUGGACGAGUUCUGACACUGAGGCACGAAAGCGUGGGUAGCAAAAGGG
This 253-nucleotide unclassified non-coding RNA is filed under the name uncultured Verrucomicrobiota bacterium. RNAcentral describes it as "uncultured Verrucomicrobia bacterium contains 16S-23S intergenic spacer region". It matches the Rfam family "Bacterial small subunit ribosomal RNA", at positions 524 to 776 of the family's 1533-position model. The record is from RNAcentral. Lineage: Bacteria; Pseudomonadati; Verrucomicrobiota.